AGAGCGAACGCUGGCGGCAGGCCUAACACAUGCAAGUCGAGCGCCCGUAGCAAUACGGGAGCGGCAGACGGGAUAGUAACACGUGGGAACGCGCCCUUCGGUUCGGAAUAACUCAGGGAAACUUGAGCUAAUACCGGAUACGCCCUUACGGGGAAAGAUUUAUUGCCGAAGGAACGGCCCGCGUCCGAUUAGCUAGUUGGUGAGGUAAUGGCUCACCAAGGCGACGAUCGGUAGCUGGUCUGAGAGGAUGACCAGCAUCACUGGGACUGAGACACGGCCCAGACUCCUACGGGAGGCAGCAGUGGGGAAUAUUGGACAAUGGGCGCAAGCCUGAUCCAGCCAUGCCGCGUGGAUGAUGAAGGCCUUAGGGUUGUAAAGCUCUUUCGCUCGGGACGAUAAUGACGGUACCGAGAGAAGACGCCCGGCUAACUUCGUGCCAGCAGCCGC
RNAcentral lists this ribosomal RNA (447 nucleotides) under uncultured bacterium. RNAcentral's name for it is "SSU rRNA". It matches the Rfam family "Bacterial small subunit ribosomal RNA", at positions 26 to 518 of the family's 1533-position model. The record is from RNAcentral.